UACGGAGGGGGUNAGCGUUGUUCGGAAUUACUGGGCGUAAAGCGCGCGUAGGCGGACCAGAAAGUUGGGGGUGAAAUCCCGGGGCCCAACCCCGGAACGGCCUCCAAAACUCCUGGUCUUGAGUUCGAGAGAGGUGAGUGGAAUUCCGAGUGUAGAGGUGAAAUUCGUAGAUAUUCGGAGGAACACCAGUGGCGAAGGCGGCUCACUGGCUCGAUACUGACGCUGAGGUGCGAAAGUGUGGGGAGCAAACAGG
Molecule: ribosomal RNA, 253 nt
Filed under: uncultured bacterium
Lineage: Bacteria
Description: partial 16S ribosomal RNA
Rfam family: Bacterial small subunit ribosomal RNA
Source: RNAcentral